RNAcentral lists this ribosomal RNA (497 nucleotides) under uncultured bacterium. RNAcentral describes it as "partial 16S ribosomal RNA". It matches the Rfam family "Bacterial small subunit ribosomal RNA", at positions 28 to 507 of the family's 1533-position model. The record is from RNAcentral.
GACGAACGCUGGCGGCGUGCCUAAUACAUGCAAGUCGAGCGCUGAAGGUUGGUACUUGUACCAACUGGCUGAGCAGCGAACGGCUCAGUAACGCGCGGCCCACCUGCCUUUGAGAGCGGGACAACAUUUGGAAAAGAAUGCUAAUACCGCCUAAACCCUUUAAACACAUGUUUUAAGUUUGUAAGAUCCAAUUGCAUCACCCCAACCUGAUCCCGCGUUGUAUUAGCUAGUUGGUGAGGUAAAGGCUCACCAAGGCGAUGAUACAUAGCCGACCUGCGAGGGUGAUCGGCCGGAUUGAGAGUGUGACACGGCCCAAAGGCAUACGGGAGGGAGCAGGAGGGAAUCUUCGGCAAGGGGCGAAAGUCUGACCGAGCAACGCGGCGUGAGGGAAGAAGGAUGUCGGGUCGGAAAACUCUGUUGGUAGAGAAGAACGUUGGUGAGGGUGGAAAGCUCAGCAAGUGACGGUAACUACACAGAAAGCGACGGCUAACUACGUG